GAUGAACGCUGGCGGCGUGCCUAACACAUGCAAGUCGAGCGGCAGCGUGGGGUGCUUGCUCCCUGUCGGCGAGCGGCGGACGGCUGAGUAACGCGUGGGAACGUUCCCUAAAGUGAGGGGUUACUGCCCGCAAGGGUAGCCUAUACCCCAAAUUAUUAUCGGAUCAAAGGGUUUAUACGUUUUAGGAGCGGCUUGCGUCGGAUUAGGUAGUUGGUGAGGUAAUGGCUCACCAUGCCGACGAUCCGUAGCUGGUCUGAGAGGAUGACCAGCCAGACUGGAACUGAGACACGGUCCAGACUCCUACGGGAGGCAGCAGUGGGGAAUCUUCCACAAUGGGCGAAAGCCUGAUGGAGCAACGCCGCGUGAAGGAUGAAGGCCUUCGGGUUGUAAACUGCUUUUAUAAGUGAGGAAUAUGACGGUAACUGAUGAAUAAGGUUCGGCUAACUACGUG
Molecule: ribosomal RNA, 451 nt
Filed under: uncultured bacterium
Lineage: Bacteria
Description: partial 16S ribosomal RNA
Rfam family: Bacterial small subunit ribosomal RNA
Source: RNAcentral